UUGCAUCCAAUCAAAGUACGGCCACCGUAGGAAAAUAUUUUUCAUUUUGUAGAGUAAUCUUUUGACAUUGGAUGUUGUCAACUCUGUAAAGCCACUAGGUUCAUAAAUUUCGAGAGCAGAAGAUGGAUCUCUUUUAGACUUCCCGGAAAUUGAAGCGCCACUAGGUUCAUAAAUUUUGAGAGCAGAAGAUGGAUCUCUUUGAGACUUCUUGGAAAUUGAAGAGCCACUAGGUUCAUUAAUUUCGAGAGCAGAAGAUGGAUCUCUUUGAGACUUCCCGGAAAUUGAAGAGCCACUAGGUUCAUCCAUUUUGAGACCAAAAGAUGGAUCUCUUUGAGACUUCUCGGAAAAUGAAGAGCCACUAGGUUCAUAAAUUUCGAGAGCAGAAGACGGAUCUCUUUGAGACUUCGCGGAAAUUGAAGAGCCACUAGGUUCAUCAAUUUCGAGAGCAGAAGAUGGAUCUCUCUGAGACUUCCCAGAAAUUGAAGAGCCACUAGGUUCAUCAAUUUCAAGAGCAGAAGAUGAAUCUCUUUGAAACUUCCUGGAAAUUGAAGAGCCACUAGGUUCAUAAAUUUCGAGAGCAGAAGAUGAAUCUCUUUGAGACUUCCCGGAAAUUGAAGAGCCACUAGGUUCAUAAAUUUCGAAAGCAGAAUAUGGAUCUCUUGUAACCACUUUCGCCACACUGAACAAAACGCAAGUAGUUCAAAGAUCAGUUCUUAAAAUAAAUAAAGCCUAUUUUUGUUAUAUAUUAAUGGAAUGCAAGGACAAUAAUUUAUAUUUCGGCGAUCCAUCCUAAGGGGACUUCAAUGUCUUUAAAACCUUCGGAGGAGAGUU
Molecule: long non-coding RNA, 831 nt
Filed under: Citrus sinensis (sweet orange)
Lineage: Eukaryota; Viridiplantae; Streptophyta; Magnoliopsida; Sapindales; Rutaceae
Description: long non-coding RNA (CSIN_LNC004017)
Source: RNAcentral